Molecule: ribosomal RNA, 478 nt
Filed under: uncultured bacterium
Lineage: Bacteria
Description: partial 16S ribosomal RNA
Rfam family: Bacterial small subunit ribosomal RNA
Source: RNAcentral
GAUGAACGCUGGCGGCGUGCUUAACACAUGCAAGUCGAACGGGAAUUAUUUUAUUGAAACUUCGGUCGAUUUAAUUUAAUUCUAGUGGCGGACGGGUGAGUAACGCGUGGGUAACCUGCCUUAUACAGGGGGAUAACAGUCAGAAAUGGCUGCUAAUACCGCAUAAGCGCACAGAGCUGCAUGGCUCAGUGUGAAAUACUCCGGUGGUAUAAGAUGGACCCGCGUUGGAUUAGCUGGUUGGUGGGGUAACGGCCCACCAAGGCGACGAUCCAUAGCCGGCCUGAGAGGGUGAACGGCCACAUUGGGACUGAGACACGGCCCAGACUCCUACGGGAGGCAGCAGUGGGGAAUAUUGCACAAUGGGGGAAACCCUGAUGCAGCGACGCCGCGUGAAGGAAGAAGUAUCUCGGGAUGUAAACUUCUAUCAGCAGGGAAGAUAGUGACGGUACCUGACUAAGAAGCCCCGGCUAACUACGUG